UACGGAGUUACAAAGGACGACAUUAGACGAAUCAUCUGGAAAGAUGAAUCAAAGAAGGUAAUAAUCCUGUAGUCGAAAAUGUUGUCUCUCUUGAGUGGAUCCUGAGUACGACGGAGCACGUGAAAUUCCGUCGGAAUCUGGGAGGACCAUCUCCUAAGGCUAAAUACUCUCUAGUGACCGAUAGUGAACCAGUACCGUGAGGGAAAGGUGAAAAGCACCCCGGAAGGGGAGUGAAAUAGAACCUGAAACCGUGUGCUUACAAGUAGUCAGAGCCCGUUAAUGGGUGAUGGCGUGCCUUUUGUAGAAUGAACCGGCGAGUUACGAUUUGAUGCAAGGUUAAGCAGUAAAUGUGGAGCCGUAGCGAAAGCGAGUCUGAAUAGGGCGUUUAGUAUUUGGUCGUAGACCCGAAACCAGGUGAUCUACCCUUGGUCAGGUUGAAGUUCAGGUAACACUGAAUGGAGGACCGAACCGACUUACGUUGAAAAGUGAGCGGAUGAACUGAGGGUAGCGGAGAAAUUCCAAUCGAACCUGGAGAUAGCUGGUUCUCUCCGAAAUAGCUUUAGGGCUAGCCUCAAGUGAUGAUUAUUGGAGGUAGAGCACUGUUUGGACGAGGGGCCCCUCUCGGGUUACCGAAUUCAGACAAACUCCGAAUGCCAAUUAAUUUAACUUGGGAGUCAGAACAUGGGUGAUAAGGUCCGUGUUCGAAAGGGAAACAGCCCAGACCACCAGCUAAGGUCCCAAAAUAUAUGUUAAGUGGAAAAGGAUGUGGCGUUGCCCAGACAACUAGGAUGUUGGCUUAGAAGCAGCCAUCAUUUAAAGAGUGCGUAAUAGCUCACUAGUCGAGUGACACUGCGCCGAAAAUGUACCGGGGCUAAACAUAUUACCGAAGCUGUGGAUUGUCCUUUGGACAAUGGUAGGAGAGCGUUCUAAGGGCGUUGAAGCAUGAUCGUAAGGACAUGUGGAGCGCUUAGAAGUGAGAAUGCCGGUGUGAGUAGCGAAAGACGGGUGAGAAUCCCGUCCACCGAUUGACUAAGGUUUCCAGAGGAAGGCUCGUCCGCUCUGGGUUAGUCGGGUCCUAAGCUGAGGCCGACAGGCGUAGGCGAUGGAUAACAGGUUGAUAUUCCUGUACCACCUAUAAUCGUUUUAAUCGAUGGGGGGACGCAGUAGGAUAGGCGAAGCGUGCGAUUGGAUUGCACGUCUAAGCAGUAAGGCUGAGUAUUAGGCAAAUCCGGUACUCGUUAAGGCUGAGCUGUGAUGGGGAGAAGACAUUGUGUCUUCGAGUCGUUGAUUUCACACUGCCGAGAAAAGCCUCUAGAUAGAAAAUAGGUGCCCGUACCGCAAACCGACAC
Molecule: ribosomal RNA, 1349 nt
Filed under: Staphylococcus aureus
Lineage: Bacteria; Bacillati; Bacillota; Bacilli; Caryophanales; Staphylococcaceae
Description: partial 23S ribosomal RNA
Rfam family: Bacterial large subunit ribosomal RNA
Source: RNAcentral